RNAcentral lists this long non-coding RNA (466 nucleotides) under Olea europaea subsp. europaea. Lineage: Eukaryota; Viridiplantae; Streptophyta; Magnoliopsida; Lamiales; Oleaceae. The record is from RNAcentral.
ACCAAGUUCUCUUUUCCUAUUUCUUUAAAACCUUCUGGUUGGAGCAUAUAAAUCUCUUCUUCAAGUUCUCCAUGAAGAAAUGUAGUUUUCACAUCUAACUGCUCCAGGUGUAAGUCAAAUGUAGCACACAUCGUCAAGACUACUCGAACUGUUGUGUGUCGAACCACAGGAGAAAAUAUUUCGUUGAAGUCUAUGCCUUCUUUCUGAGCAUAUCCCUUCACCACCAGUCUCGCACGAUACCGCUCCACUUGGUCAUUGCCAUCUCGUUUGAUCUUGUAGACCCAUUUAUUUCCAAUGGCCUUCCUUCCUUGUGGUAGUGGAACAAGAUCCCAUGUCUUGUUCUUUUGAAGAGCUUCAAUUUCUUCUUGCAUUGCUGCCAUCCACAGAGAAACUUCUUGACUAUUUAUAGCCUCAUGGAAAGUUGAUGGCUCUCCAUCUUCUGCCAGUAAGCAGUAUGCAACAUUGC